CCUACGGGGGGCAGCAGUGGGGAAUAUUGGACAAUGGGGGGAACCCUGAUCCAGCGAAGCCGCGUGAGUGAAGAAGUAUUUCGGUAUGUAAAGCUCUAUCAGCAGGGAAGAAAGAAAUGACGGUACCUGACUAAGAAGCCCCGGCUAACUACGUGCCAGCAGCCGCGGUAAUACGUAGGGGGCAAGCGUUAUCCGGAUUUACUGGGUGUAAAGGGAGCGUAGACGGCGAUGCAAGUCUGAAGUGAAAGGCGGGGGCCCAACCCCCGGACUGCUGUGGAAACUGUAUGGCUGGAGUGCCGGGGAGGUAAGUGGAAUUCCUAGUGUAGCGGUGAAAUGCGUAGAUAUUAGGAGGAACACCAGUGGCGAAGGCGGCUUACUGGACUGUAACUGACGUUGAGGCUCGAAAGCGUGGGGAGCAAACAGGAUUAGAUACCCGGGUAGUC
RNAcentral lists this ribosomal RNA (443 nucleotides) under uncultured bacterium. RNAcentral's name for it is "partial 16S ribosomal RNA". It matches the Rfam family "Bacterial small subunit ribosomal RNA", at positions 338 to 795 of the family's 1533-position model. The record is from RNAcentral.